Molecule: ribosomal RNA, 1044 nt
Filed under: Capnocytophaga canimorsus
Lineage: Bacteria; Pseudomonadati; Bacteroidota; Flavobacteriia; Flavobacteriales; Flavobacteriaceae
Description: bacterial SSU rRNA
Rfam family: Bacterial small subunit ribosomal RNA
Source: RNAcentral
CUAGCGGCAGGCCUAACACAUGCAAGUCGAGGGGUAGGGUGCUUCGGCACUUGAGACCGGCGCACGGGUGCGUAACACGUGUACAAUCUACCUUUUGCUAAGGGAUAGCCCGAAGAAAUUUGGAUUAAUACCUUAUAGUAUUGUUUGGUGGCAUCACUGAAUAAUUAAAGCUCUGGUGGCAAAAGAUGAGUACGCGUCCCAUUAGCUAGUUGGUGUGGUAACGGCAUACCAAGGCUACGAUGGGUAGGGGUCCUGAGAGGGAGGUCCCCCACACUGGUACUGAGACACGGACCAGACUCCUACGGGAGGCAGCAGUGAGGAAUAUUGGACAAUGGUCGGAAGACUGAUCCAGCCAUGCCGCGUGCAGGAUGACGGCCUUAUGGGUUGUAAACUGCUUUUAUACAGGAAGAAUAAGGUCUACGAGUAGAUUGAUGACGGUACUGUAUGAAUAAGCAUCGGCUAACUCCGUGCCAGCAGCCGCGGUAAUACGGAGGAUGCGAGCGUUAUCCGGAAUCAUUGGGUUUAAAGGGUCCGUAGGCGGGCUUAUAAGUCAGAGGUGAAAGCACUGAGCUCAACUGAGUAACUGCCUUUGAAACUGUAGGUCUUGAAUGUUUGUGAAGUAGCUGGAAUGUGUAGUGUAGCGGUGAAAUGCAUAGAUAUUACACAGAACACCGAUUGCGAAGGCAUGUUACUAACAAAUUAUUGACGCUGAUGGACGAAAGCGUGGGGAGCGAACAGGAUUAGAUACCCUGGUAGUCCACGCUGUAAACGAUGGAUACUAGCUGUUUGGGAGUAAUUUUGAGUGGCUAANCGAAAGUGAUAAGUAUCCCACCUGGGGAGUNCNCACGCNAGUGUGAAACUCAAAGGAAUUGACGGGGGCCCGCACAAGCGGUGGAGCAUGUGGUUUAAUUCGAUGAUCCGCGAGGAACCUUACCAAGGUUUAAAUGGGAAACGACGUACCUAGAGAUAGGUAUUUCUUCGGACGUUUUUCAAGGUGCUGCAUGGUUGUCGUCAGCNCGUGCCCGUGAGGUGUNCNGUUAAACC